Molecule: ribosomal RNA, 253 nt
Filed under: uncultured bacterium
Lineage: Bacteria
Description: partial 16S ribosomal RNA
Rfam family: Bacterial small subunit ribosomal RNA
Source: RNAcentral
UACGUAGGUGGCAAGCGUUGUCCGGAUUUACUGGGCGUAAAGGGCGUGCAGGCGGUUUGUUAAGUGCAGGGUGAAAGCUCCCGGCUCAACUGGGAGAGGUCCUUGCAUACUGGCAGACUUGAGGGAGGCAGAGGAAAGUGGAAUUCCCGGUGUAGUGGUGAUAUGCGUAGAUAUCGGGAGGAACACCGGUGGCGAAGGCGGUUCUCUGGGCAUGAUCUGACGCUGAGGAGCGAAAGUGUGGGGAGCGAACAGG